This 123-nucleotide small nuclear RNA is filed under the name Thrips palmi. RNAcentral's name for it is "U5 spliceosomal RNA". It matches the Rfam family "U5 spliceosomal RNA". Rfam says of the family: U5 RNA is a component of both types of known spliceosome. The precise function of this molecule is unknown, though it is known that the 5' loop is required for splice site selection and p220 binding, and that both the 3' stem-loop and the Sm site are important for Sm protein binding and cap methylation. The record is from Rfam by way of RNAcentral. Lineage: Eukaryota; Metazoa; Arthropoda; Insecta; Thysanoptera; Thripidae.
GUACUCCGCUCCACCUUCAGAACGAAAAACUCUUUCGCCUUUUACUAAAGAGUUCCGUGGAGGUGGUGCACUCGAGGAGUCUCGACUUUUAUUUUUGACGCGCCCAGCUCUCUCCGGAGCCGG